UACAGAGGGUGCGAGCGUUGUCCGGAAUCACUGGGCGUAAAGGGCGCGUAGGCGGCCAUGCGUGUCUUCCGUGAAAUCCCUCGGCUUAACUGAGGACGUGCGGAAGAAACUGCAAGGCUCGAGUCCGGGAGAGGGGGGUGGAAUUCCCAGUGUAGCGGUGAAAUGCGUAGAUAUCGGGAGGAACACCUGUGGCGAAAGCGGCGCACUGGACCAUAACUGACGCUGAGGCGCGAAAGCUAGGGGAGCAAACAGG
Molecule: ribosomal RNA, 253 nt
Filed under: uncultured bacterium
Lineage: Bacteria
Description: partial 16S ribosomal RNA
Rfam family: Bacterial small subunit ribosomal RNA
Source: RNAcentral